RNAcentral lists this ribosomal RNA (467 nucleotides) under uncultured bacterium. RNAcentral's name for it is "partial 16S ribosomal RNA". It matches the Rfam family "Bacterial small subunit ribosomal RNA", at positions 29 to 507 of the family's 1533-position model. The record is from RNAcentral.
ACGAACGCUGGCGGCGUGCUUAACACAUGCAAGUCGCACGGAAAGGCCCUGCUUUUGUGGGGUGCUCGAGUGGCGAACGGGUGAGUAACACGUGAGUAACCUACCCUUGACUUUGGGAUAACUUCAGGAAACUGGGGCUAAUACCGGAUAGGAGCUCCUGCUGCAUGGUGGGGGUUGGAAAGUUUCGGCGGUUGGGGAUGGACUCGCGGCUUAUCAGCUUGUUGGUGGGGUAGUGGCUUACCAAGGCUUUGACGGGUAGCCGGCCUGAGAGGGUGACCGGCCACAUUGGGACUGAGAUACGGCCCAGACUCCUACGGGAGGCAGCAGUGGGGAAUAUUGCACAAUGGGCGGAAGCCUGAUGCAGCAACGCCGCGUGCGGGAUGACGGCCUUCGGGUUGUAAACCGCUUUCGCCUGUGACGAAGCGUGAGUGACGGUAAUGGGUAAAGAAGCACCGGCUAACUACGUG